Molecule: transfer RNA, 77 nt
Filed under: Sphaerodactylus townsendi
Lineage: Eukaryota; Metazoa; Chordata; Lepidosauria; Squamata; Sphaerodactylidae
Description: tRNA-Ala
Rfam family: tRNA
About the family: Transfer RNA (tRNA) molecules are approximately 80 nucleotides in length.
Source: RNAcentral
GGAGAGGGUCUGUGGCUCAGGGACAGAGCAUCUGUCUGGCACGCAGAAGGUCCCAGGUUUGAUCCCCAGCAUCUCCA